This 429-nucleotide ribosomal RNA is filed under the name uncultured fungus. Its description in RNAcentral is "eukaryotic LSU rRNA". It matches the Rfam family "Eukaryotic large subunit ribosomal RNA", at positions 1 to 418 of the family's 3401-position model. The record is from RNAcentral. Lineage: Eukaryota; Fungi.
UUGACCUCAAAUCAGGUAGGACUACCCGCUGAACUUAAGCAUAUCAAUAAGCGGAGGAAAAGAAACUAACAAGGAUUCCCCUAGUAACUGCGAGUGAAGCGGGAAAAGCUCAAAUUUAAAAUCUGGCGGUCUCUGGCCGUCCGAGUUGUAAUCUAGAGAAGUGUUAUCCGCGCUGGACCGUGUACAAGUCUCCUGGAAUGGAGCGUCAUAGAGGGUGAGAAUCCCCGUCUUUGACACGGACUGCCAGGGNCUUUGUGAUGCGCUCUCAAAGAGUCGAGUUGUUUGGGGAAUGCAGCUCAAAAUGGGUGGUAAAUUCCAUCUAAAGCUAAAUAUUGGCGAGAGACCGAUAGCGAACAAGUACCGUGAGGGAAAGAUGAAAAAGAACUUUGGAAAGAGAGUUAAACAGUACGUGAAAUUGCUGAAAGGGAA